ACUGUGAACUGAUCAGAUAGCCUGAGUCAAUGUGGUGGGCAGAUAAAAGCUACAUUUUUCAAGUAAAUAAGAGGUCGGGUCUCAGUGUUCUAAUGGACGAUUCAUGUAUCCUAGUUAGAGCUCAUAUUUGCCUAUUUCCUGUUGCACGAUGAAUUGAACUGCUAGCUUAGUACUCAAGAGUUGUGUGUGUGGGGAAUGAUUCUUCCUUGAUUCCUUGGGAUGCUCGUACCGGCACAGUCCAACUGUCAAGUGUUAACAGAUGUUCGAAAUGAUUAUGGCGCAGCGUAUCAACGGUGAUUCAGCUCAAUCUAGAAAUAUAGGUUAAAUUUCUAGAGACCUGACUUCUUGAAUCGAAGAGUUCAAUCAAAUUCGAUGCAAGGCUCUUGAAUUGAUGACAGAAUCAAAU
Molecule: long non-coding RNA, 406 nt
Organism: Papaver somniferum (opium poppy)
Lineage: Eukaryota; Viridiplantae; Streptophyta; Magnoliopsida; Ranunculales; Papaveraceae
Exons: 3
Source: RefSeq, a predicted model, not a curated record